Molecule: ribosomal RNA, 451 nt
Filed under: uncultured marine bacterium
Lineage: Bacteria
Description: bacterial SSU rRNA
Rfam family: Bacterial small subunit ribosomal RNA
Source: RNAcentral
AAUAUUGGGCAAUGGAGGCAACUCUGACCCAGCAACGCCGCGUGAAGGAUGAAGGCCCUCGGGUCGUAAACUUCUGUCGAGAGGGAAGAAACGCGUACGGUUAAUAUCCGUGCGCCUGACGGUACCUCCAAAGGAAGCACCGGCUAACUCCGUGCCAGCAGCCGCGGUAAUACGGAGGGUGCAAGCGUUGUUCGGAUUUAUUGGGCGUAAAGCGAGUGUAGGCGGUUUGACAAGUCGGGUGUGAAAUCCCAGGGCCCAACCCUGGAACUGCAUCCGAUACUGUCAGGCUAGAGUUCCGGAGAGGGUGGCGGAAUUCCCGGUGUAGGGGUGAAAUCCGUAGAUAUCGGGAGGAACACCAGUGGCGAAGGCGGCCACCUGGACGGUGACUGACGCUGAGACUCGAAAGUGUGGGUAGCAAACAGGAUUAGAUACCCUGGUAGUCCACACCGUA